Molecule: unclassified non-coding RNA, 230 nt
Filed under: uncultured Geminibasidium
Lineage: Eukaryota; Fungi; Basidiomycota; Geminibasidiomycetes; Geminibasidiales; Geminibasidiaceae
Description: sequence contains ITS2
Source: RNAcentral
ACACCUCAACCCUCCAGUGUUUUUUGCAUCGCAGGUGUUGGUAGUGAGCGUUGCCGGUCUUUGGAUCGGCUCGCUUUAAAAUCAUUAGCUGGAUCCAUUCUGACCUGGUUCUACUCGGCGUAAUAAGUUAUUAUCGUCGAGGACGCCUGGCCUUGUAGGCAGGGCGGCCACAGUAAGGGUGUUUUGAACGGCUUCCAACACGUCUUGCUCUUGCAGCAAACAGCUUGAAC